UCAACCUUUUGUUUACUUUGAAAUAAAAUUCAUUCAGAAAAGGGAAGAAUUGUGGACCUAAUAAUUUACUCUUGUAAAGAUAUUAGUAAUCUUGAUGUAUUGUCAAUAAGUUCCAAAUAAUCUGUCAAGUUUUUAGUUGGAUAUUUUUGAGAAACUCUGUAAAUAUCCUAAAUGGUGUGUGGAAGAAUUAAGGUUGUGGCCUGGGGCUGUGGCUCAGUGGUAGAGCAAUAAAUAAAUAAAUAAAGGUAUUGUGUCCAUCUACAACUAAAACAAUUAAAAAAAAAGAAUUAAGGUUAUGAAUAGCUUAGUUGACUUUAGAAAAGGAGGAAAAAAGGGGGACUUAUGAGAUUAAGACAUAUUACAAAGACAUAAUGAUAACUAUGUGGUUAGUAUACGAACAUGUAGAUCUCUCAGAAUAUUAGAGAGUUUAGACAUAGAUCUAUGGAUGUGUGGGAACUUGAUAUAAAGUUAACAGUGCAAUCAAUAGAAACUAAAUUAUUUCACAAAUAAUGUUGAGGGGGCAAGUAGCUUGUUAUAUAUGGGAAAAUAAGACUCCUUUGCAUCAUAUACAAAGGUAGACUCCCAAUAAAUACCAAAUGUGGAAAAAAAACAAAAAGGUUAGAGGAAAUGAAAAAUAUUUUUUGAGAUGUGAGUUUGUACUCUUAAAACCUCAAAGUACAAACUAGAUGUAUAUAUUAAUUUAAUUGUACCAAAUGGGGAGUUUUGAUUAUCAGAGACUCUAUGAGCAUAAUUAACACACAGAAGUGGGAAAUGGCAGACAGUAUUGGCAAUGUUUAAUAUUAACAAGCAAUUAAUACCCUCCAGAGUAUACAAGGAAUUCCUGCAAAUAAUAAAAUGAUAGCAAUCCCAGCAGGAAAAUUUGUAAAGUAUAUAAAAAGGAAUUUAUAGAAAAGGAAACCCCCAAAUCAGCAAGCAUAUGAAGAGUUCCUCAACAUAAUUAACAAUUAGAAAAUGCAAAUUAAAACAAUAAGAUAUGUUUCAUAUAUAUCAGGCUGGUGCACAUUAAAAAAUUGAGCAAUAAGAAGAGUUGCUGAAGGUGCAAAGCUAUGAAGACCCUUAUACAUUGCCCAUGGUCAUGUAGCCUCUCUGAACAAUAGCAUAUAUAUGACUCAGGUGUUCCACUCUUGAUUUUAUAUGCAAAUGACAUCUCAAGUGGAUUCAGGUAAUAACAUAUGCAGGGAUGUUCAUUACAACAUUAUUUGUGGUAGGAAGGCAUUGGUGGAUAUGUAAAUGUUCAGUACUAGCAUAGUAGAGGGUAAAUUAUUCCAGCUACAACUUUCAGCAACAGAACAAUUCUGACACCAGAUGUGUUGGUCUCCAGCAGACAUCAAAUGAGUGUCCUAUAAUUUGAUUCAGUUCUGACAUCAUAUACCACAAGUUCCACAAGCCUACCAGUCACUUCAGAUGCAUAUUGCAAGGUCCCCCUCUUCAGUCCAACCAACUAUGAAAUUGGGGGUUUCAAUGAACCCCUCCUUGAGUUUGAUCAACUUACUAAAGCAGCUCGUAGAACUUAGGAAAACAUUUUAUUCAAGUUUACCCAUUUAUUGUAAGAGCUGUUUCAAAGGAUACAGAUGAAUAGCCAGAUGGAAGAGAUACACGGGACAAGGCAGGUAGAAAGAGCCUCCUUGCCUUCUCUAGAAUCCACCAGGGACCUCUAUGUAUUUACCAAUCAAGAAUCGCUCUGAAUCCAGUCCUUUUGGAGUUUUAAGGAGGUUCCUGAUUGAUUAUAUCAUUUGUCUAUUGCUAUAACUCAAACUUUAGCCCAUCUCUCCUCCCUAGAUGUGGAGGAUUGGGGCUGAAAAUUUAAAUCUUUAUUCUCAUAGUUGGUUCCCCUGUCAAACAACCCCCAUCCUAAGGCUGUCAAAGGAUCCCCCAGCCAUCUGCCAACUGUCAUCUUAUUAGAACAAGAAAUCACCCAGGAAAUUCCAAGAGAUUAGAUCUCUGUGUCUGGAAUUGGGGUCUGAGACCAAAUAUUAGCAAAAGGAUUCUCCUAGCACCUCUGUCUAUAAGAAUUUUAAAGCUCUAUGUAAGAAACCACUGUUUCUUAUUUUAUACACACUCCAUCUCAUUUCAUGAAAUUAGAGAUUCUCUGAAGAUGUGAUCCAUAAAUGUUAUAUAAUUGGCAGUAUGAUUAAGGCAAAUGAAACAACUUGGAGCACAACUAGCAACUUAUCCACCCUAUGGAACUGUUGCUCUCCCAUUAAUAUGUCUUGGACCAUAUAGUUACAUGAAUACCAGACAUAUGGACCAAGUGAGGAGACCCAUUUCAGUCUGUAUGCUGAGCAUAUAGAAUGUUUAAUUUUCCCCUUUUAGUUAAGUAGAGAUAUAAGUUCUAAUAUUGUCUUCUUGCAUUUCAGUUGACACCUCCCCUUUUGAGAUAUAUAUAUAUCUCUUUGAAGACCCUUGGUCUCAAAUACCUGUUUGGAGGAAGUUAUUUUUAAUUCCAAGUUAUGAAUCUUAAGAGUUUAUACACAUUUUUAAUGUGUUCCAUAUACAUCUGUAUUUUUUAAUAUAUAGUGUGAUUUUCCCAAAUCUUGGGGGAAAUUUAACAUUCUAGUAACAAAUGCCUUGAAAGACCCUCUAGUACACAUCUAGUACCUUAAAAUGAUUUCACUGUCAAAGAUCUGACAGAUCUUUGGGAUUGAUAUUUCCUGUCUUAAUAAUACCUCUAGUCUGGCUUUUCUAAGAUGGGUCCCAAUGUGAAAUAUUCUGUUGUGAAAUAACAUAGUUAUUUUAUGACACUCUGAUUUUUUUUUCUUUAACUUUACAGAGACUGUGCAGUUGAUCCAACUUGUGUUUUAUGCAUGGAGUGCUUUUUGGGAAGUAUUCACAGAGACCAUCGAUAUAGGAUGACAACAUCAGGAGGUGGAGGUUUCUGUGACUGUGGUGAUACAGAAGCUUGGAAAGAGGGUCCUUACUGUCAAAAACAUGAACUUAACACCUCUGAAAUCGAGGAAGAAGAGGAUCCUCUUGUGCAUUUAUCAGUAGAUGUGAUAGCAAGAACUUACAACAUUUUUGCUAUUAUGUUUCGUUAUGCAGUAGAGAUAUUAACCUGGGAAAAAGAAAGUGAAUUGCCAGCAGAUUUGGAGAUGGAAGAAAAGAGCGACACCUACUAUUGUAUGUUGUUUAAUGAUGAGGUUCACACCUAUGAACAAGUAAUAUAUACUCUCCAGAAAGCUGUUAACUGUACUCAAAAAGAAGCCAUUGGUUUUGCAACAACAGUGGAUCGAGAUGGACGUAGGUCUGUUCGAUAUGGAGACUUCCAGUAUUGUGAGCAAGCAAAAUCAGUAAUUGUGAGAAAUACCAGUAGACAGACAAAGCCACUCAAAGUUCAAGUUAUGCAUUCGUCUAUUGUUGCACAUCAGAAUUUUGGUUUGAAACUUUUGUCUUGGCUGGGAAGUAUUAUUGGAUAUUCAGAUGGCCUUCGCCGGAUUUUAUGUCAAGUUGGAUUACAGGAAGGACCAUAUGGUGAAAACUCUUGUCUGGUGGAUAGACUGAUGCUUAGUGAUUCCAAAUUAUGGAAAGGUGCUAGGAGUGUAUAUCAUCAAUUAUUCAUGAGCAGCCUACUUAUGGAUUUGAAAUACAAGAAACUAUUUGCCAUUCGAUUUGCAAAAAACUAUGAGCGUUUGCAGAGUGAUUAUGUGACAGAUGACCACGACAGAGAGUUUUCAAUCGCAGACCUCUCGGUUCAGAUAUUCACAGUUCCUUCACUUAAUUUCUGCUCCAUGAGGACCUGGAAGGCCUGGCUUUGUCCCCAAAGCAUCUCCAAAGCCUCCUCAGGCUCUGCUUGGACACCUCCCUCCAGAACAAAGCCCUUACCCAUCUCGAUCCCACAGAUGACCAGGGCUGCUAUCACAGCACCUGCUGACGUCCCUGCGAAGCGAUGGGCUGUGUCCAGCAUCCGAGGCGCCAGAUCCCGAAGGGCAUCCACAACCCCAGCCUGGAAGGAGGGACCACGGUUCAGAGCCUGCUCGCCUCAGCCUGGCCUGCCAAUCCCUGUGGGAACUCGCUGUCAGCUUCCCUGCCAGCCCAGAGCCUGGAAUGUGGCCGUCUCUACUGGGUUGGCCCGGGGAACCCACGGGUGGUUCAGACAGCUACCGCCCGGGCCUGUUCAACCCUGCCAGGUGGCAGUCUCAAAGGUGGUGUGCCUGUCAUCAGAGAGUAGUAAAGUCCAAAGCCUCUGGAACCGAUGGACCUGGAGAUAAGGUGGAAUAACAGAUUGAAAGAGGAAAGCUGUGUCCAGGAGCCACACGCAGGGGGAGCCUGGAGCCUCCUGGGACAGAGGUCCUCCUGACAGUCCCAGUGAACCAGAAGCAAGGCCACCUGCUCUACCCGGCUGCGGUGGCCUGUGUUCAACACUGCUGCAGGGAGGCAUGGCCUCCGUGCCAGUAAACCAGGAACCCACGACUGUACCCAUGAGAAGGCCCCCCGGGCUGUUACCCUGGACCCUCAGGGUGAGACCAUGGAGAAUGUUCAGCUCACUUCCCCUUGUUCCUGGUGUCACACUCAAGGCCCUCAGAACUUCGAGGGAAUGACAUCGAGGAAGAAUCACUUCCCGACACUUCUGCAUUUGAUUUGAAGAGUUGUGUUGUGAUCUUCUCAGGUGUUUUUUAAAACCAAGUUCUCACUUCUCAUAUGACCCAUCGGUCAUAUUAAGAAACAAGACUGCUUAUUGCAUAUAAUUCCAAGACAACCCAAAAUCAAUGCACAGAGGCUGCAGCUGCCAUAAAUAUGAGACUUACGCAUAAGGUCUUCGAAGACUUGCGGGAUUGCUCUUGGGAAGGAGGGUGUGUUUAGGUUGGCUUUUCAAAGAUGGUACAUCACCUCUGCUCACAUCUUGAAAACAGAAAUUUAGUGGAGAACCUGGUUGCUACUUGAUACAAGAGUGUGAAUGUCACAGCAUCACCAAUCGAUAUUAUUAACAAAAAUAUUUAACCUGAAUCUGAGGCCUAACUUCCUGUUCCCAAUAUAUACCAAAUAUGAAGGAACAAGUUAAAUGCUUCUGGGUUCCAAUAAUUGGACAAGUUGAGACUGUGGGGAGGACUGGCAGAAACCAUGGCUGGCUACACAGCAGCUGCCUCCUGCACACUUGUUCCUUGUCUGAAUCUCUGUAGAGCAACUGAGAAGGCUGAGACCCAAUUCCCCAGCCUCCUUUGCAGCUAAGGGUGCUGUUUUAGUCAGUUUUUUUCACUGCUGUGACUAAAGGAUCUAACCAGAACAAGUGUAGUGGAGGAAAAGUUUAUUUGCGGGCUCGCAGUUUUAGAAGUCCAUAUAAGGCUGGCUCCAUUUCUCAAGGCUCUAAAUGAAGCUAAACAUCAUGGCUGGAGAGUGUGGCACAGGGAAGCAGCUCACAUCAUGGUGAUCAAGAAGCAGAGAGUCCAAUGUCCUCCGAUGAUCCCAGCAUCGAUCAAGAACCAUUCAAGAAGAAUCAAACUUGCAUAGGUGCUUGCUUUCUUGUUCCAACUUUUAGUCCAUCCAAGCCAUCAUCCUAUUGGUCAGUGCUGCCCACACUUAGGGAGGGUCUCCCUUUCAAUUGGCUAUCCCACGUGCCAAACAUUCCUAGACACACCCUCAUUGACACACCCAUAAGCCUCUUAAUCCUUGGUAUCUCUUAAUCCGAUCAAGUUGACAAUUCAAAUUGACCAUUACAAGUGCUGAAGAGAUCCACUUUUAGGAGAAAACCCUCUCGAUGGUGCCUCAGGAAGAUUUUCCUUCUUUUCUCUUUCCUCCCCUAUCUGAAAAAUAAAAUACGGUUGUCACAAUUAA
Molecule: RNA transcript, 5787 nt
Organism: Marmota monax (woodchuck)
Lineage: Eukaryota; Metazoa; Chordata; Mammalia; Rodentia; Sciuridae
Gene name: E3 ubiquitin-protein ligase UBR2
Exons: 14
Source: RefSeq, a predicted model, not a curated record